This 265-nucleotide ribosomal RNA is filed under the name uncultured archaeon. RNAcentral's name for it is "partial 16S ribosomal RNA". It matches the Rfam family "Archaeal small subunit ribosomal RNA", at positions 717 to 982 of the family's 1478-position model. The record is from RNAcentral.
ACACGACUACAUUAGAUACCCCGGUAGUCCUAGCCGUAAACGAUACUCGCUAGGUGUCGGCCACGGUGCGACCGUUGUCGGUGCCGUAGGGAAGCCGUGAAGCGAGCCACCUGGGAAGUACGGCCACAAGGCUGAAACUUAAAGGAAUUGGCGGGGGAGCACAACAACGGGUGGAGCUUGCGGUUUAAUUGGAUUCAACGCCGGAAAUCUUACCGGGACCGACAGCAACAUGAAGGCCAAGCUGAAGACUUUGCCGGAUUAGCUG